This 189-nucleotide small RNA is filed under the name Chelonoidis abingdonii (Abingdon island giant tortoise). RNAcentral's name for it is "TUC338 (ENSCABG00000012573.1)". Lineage: Eukaryota; Metazoa; Chordata; Testudines; Testudinidae. The record is from RNAcentral.
UGUUCAGCCCCGGAGACUAAAGUCCUCUGUUCAUCUAAAAACCAGGUACAUCACUGGUCGGUAACUUAAGCAGUGGCAAUGCAAGUUCCUCACACCACACAACCAAUGUGCCUCAACUCUGUUCAGGAGAGACUGUUUCCAGGGGUGAAAGCUAGUUCAUUUUUCAUGGCCGCUAAAUCCUUGACCUCU